ACCUUUUUUAUUUUUCUAAAAUCUAUAAUGCUAUGACAAAUACAAAUUUAUCUGGCCCCGCAAUUCAGGGGAGCAUUAAUUUCAAUAUAUAGCCAUAGUUGUUCUCCAAUUUCGGAAUAUUUUAGGAUGUAUAAAAAUUCUUGCAUAGAUUUUACUUUAUAUUUGCCUUUUCAAUUCAAUGGGACCAUAUAAAGAUGAAAUUAUCAAAUCCAUGUGAUAGCUUUCAUGUGGUGUACUGGGAGUCUUCAACAAUCCUUUUGGCAUGAUAUUUGGACUCUUAUUAACUAGCAACUCCAAUUUAUGAAGAUAUUAAACAAGUUAUUCAAAGCAUAAAUCCUGAAUAUCUCGGCAACAGUGACCCAGGUUUGUGCUGGCGGCCAAUAGUAUCAAAACUAUACAUUGCUAGAAAGGAUUACAUGUGGUUAGCUAGGCAUAAAUUUAGAUAGAAUGAUCAGAAUAGGUGGAAAUGGUUGUGAAAAAUUAAUUUUUUUGAAAAAAGUUAAAAUUUUCAUUUGGCUAUUGGCUUGACUUACAUUCGAUCCUUCCAACGGAACGGAAAUGUUUCACACUUUCACUUUAGGCGUCAUCUCUCUGCUGCAGACUACUGUCCGAGAUGUGGGUUAGAUAAGAAGACAGUGGAAAAUUGUGUAAGAGAUUGUGAGAAAUCUAGAGUUUUAUGUAAAUUGUUGGAUUCUUCAAUUUUUAAUGUUGUAAUCAGUAGUUUUGGCUCUUGAAUUUGAAAGGUGCUGUUUGGCAGAGAAUUAAUUCUUGGAAUUAGGUUGUAGUGGAUAUGAAGAUACCCUUGUAAUAAUAUUUUUAAUCCAGAUAAUUUUUGGUAUGAUAAUAAGACUGUUGUCAAUGCCAGAAUCA
Non-coding RNA from Arachis ipaensis, 870 nucleotides. The record is from RefSeq and is a predicted model, not a curated record. NCBI's taxonomy places the organism in Eukaryota, Viridiplantae, Streptophyta, Magnoliopsida, Fabales, Fabaceae.